UGGAAAUGAGGACAAAUUGUUUUCACUGAUCACGGAAUGAAGACUGUUAAUCCAACUCUGAUCCAAAACACC
Molecule: small nucleolar RNA, 72 nt
Organism: Doryrhamphus excisus (bluestripe pipefish)
Lineage: Eukaryota; Metazoa; Chordata; Actinopteri; Syngnathiformes; Syngnathidae
Product: small nucleolar RNA SNORD19
Source: RefSeq, a predicted model, not a curated record